GCGCCGGAGGCGCGACCUGAGCCUUCCAAGCUCAUGGCCCGGGUUCAAAUCCCGGUCGGUGCA
Halarchaeum acidiphilum MH1-52-1 is the source of this 63-nucleotide transfer RNA. It matches the Rfam family "tRNA". Rfam says of the family: Transfer RNA (tRNA) molecules are approximately 80 nucleotides in length. Their secondary structure includes four short double-helical elements and three loops (D, anti-codon, and T loops). Further hydrogen bonds mediate the characteristic L-shaped molecular structure. tRNAs have two regions of fundamental functional importance: the anti-codon, which is responsible for specific mRNA codon recognition, and the 3' end, to which the tRNAs corresponding amino acid is attached (by aminoacyl-tRNA synthetases). tRNAs cope with the degeneracy of the genetic code in two manners: having more than one tRNA (with a specific anti-codon) for a particular amino acid; and 'wobble' base-pairing, i.e. permitting non-standard base-pairing at the 3rd anti-codon position. The record is from Rfam. Lineage: Archaea; Methanobacteriati; Methanobacteriota; Halobacteria; Halobacteriales; Halobacteriaceae.